UCCUAAGAGAAUCAGGUCCUUUCUCGG
Molecule: non-coding RNA, 27 nt
Filed under: Mus musculus (house mouse)
Lineage: Eukaryota; Metazoa; Chordata; Mammalia; Rodentia; Muridae
Source: RNAcentral